UACGGGAGGCAGCAGUGGGGAAUAUUGCACAAUGGGCGAAAGCCUGAUGCAGCUAUGCCGCGUGUAUGAAGAAGGCCUUAGGGUUGUAAAGUACUUUCAUCGGGGAGGAAAAAACAAAACUAAUAAUUUUAUUUCUUGACGUUACCCGAAAAAGAAGCACCGGCUAACUCCGUGCCAGCAGCCGCGGUAAUACGGAGGGUGCUAGCGUUAAUCAGAAUUACUGGGCGUAAAGAGCACGUAGGUGGUUUUUUUAAGUCAGAUGUGAAUCCCUGGGCUUAACCUAGGAACUGCAUUUUGAAACUGAAAUACUAGAGUAUCGUAGAGGGAGGUAGAAUUCUAGGUGUAGCGGUGAAAUGCGUAGAUAUCUGGAGGAAUACCUGUGGCGAAAGCGGCCUCCUAAACCGAAUACUGACACUGAGGUGCGAAAGCGUGGGGAGCAAACAGGGAUUAGAUACC
RNAcentral lists this ribosomal RNA (456 nucleotides) under uncultured bacterium. Its description in RNAcentral is "bacterial SSU rRNA". It matches the Rfam family "Bacterial small subunit ribosomal RNA", at positions 340 to 786 of the family's 1533-position model. The record is from RNAcentral.